RNAcentral lists this transfer RNA (76 nucleotides) under Gammaproteobacteria bacterium. RNAcentral describes it as "tRNA-Phe". It matches the Rfam family "tRNA". Rfam says of the family: Transfer RNA (tRNA) molecules are approximately 80 nucleotides in length. Their secondary structure includes four short double-helical elements and three loops (D, anti-codon, and T loops). Further hydrogen bonds mediate the characteristic L-shaped molecular structure. tRNAs have two regions of fundamental functional importance: the anti-codon, which is responsible for specific mRNA codon recognition, and the 3' end, to which the tRNAs corresponding amino acid is attached (by aminoacyl-tRNA synthetases). tRNAs cope with the degeneracy of the genetic code in two manners: having more than one tRNA (with a specific anti-codon) for a particular amino acid; and 'wobble' base-pairing, i.e. permitting non-standard base-pairing at the 3rd anti-codon position. Lineage: Bacteria; Pseudomonadati; Pseudomonadota; Gammaproteobacteria. RNAcentral also lists the same sequence under 5 other names. The record is from RNAcentral.
GGCCAGGUAGCUCAGUCGGUAGAGCAGGGGACUGAAAAUCCCCGUGUCGGUGGUUCGAUUCCACCCCUGGCCACCA